GUGAGGAAUAUUGGUCAAUGGACGCAAGCCUGAUCCAGCCAUGCCGCGUGCAGGAAGACGCAUCUAUGGUGUGUAAACUGCUUUUGUACGGGAAGAAACACUCCCUCGUGAGGGAGCUUGACGGUACCGUAAGAAUAAGGAUCGGCUAACUCCGUGCCAGCAGCCGCGGUAAUACGGAGGAUCCAAGCGUUAUCCGGAAUCAUUGGGUUUAAAGGGUCCGUAGGCGGUUUAAUAAGUCAGUGGUGAAAGCCCAUCGCUCAACGAUGGAACGGCCAUUGAUACUGUUAGACUUGAAUUACAAGGAAGUAACUAGAAUAUGUAGUGUAGCGGUGAAAUGCUUAGAUAUUACAUGGAAUACCAAUUGCGAAGGCAGGUUACUACUUGUGGAUUGACGCUGAUGGACGAAAGCGUGGGGAGCGAACAGGAUUAGAAACCCCUGUAGUCC
RNAcentral lists this ribosomal RNA (445 nucleotides) under uncultured bacterium. RNAcentral's name for it is "partial 16S ribosomal RNA". It matches the Rfam family "Bacterial small subunit ribosomal RNA", at positions 354 to 796 of the family's 1533-position model. The record is from RNAcentral.